Babesia bovis is the source of this 77-nucleotide non-coding RNA. The record is from Rfam. Lineage: Eukaryota; Apicomplexa; Aconoidasida; Piroplasmida; Babesiidae.
AUAAAUAUGGCGGAAAUGGUAGACGCGCUAAAUUUAGGAUUUAGUUAUAUAUAAGAGUUCGAGUCUCUUUAUUUAUA